UGCGUAGGCGGAAUAAUAAGUCAGUGGUGAAAUCCUGUGGCUCAACCACAGAACUGCCAUUGAUACUGUUAUUCUUGAAUAUAGUUGAGGUAGGCGGAAUGUGUAAUGUAGCGGUGAAAUGCUUAGAUAUUACACAGAACACCGAUUGCGAAGGCAGCUUGCUAAACUAUUAUUGACGCUGAGGCACGAAAGCGUGGGGAGCGAACAGGAUUAGAUACCCCGGUAGUCC
This 229-nucleotide ribosomal RNA is filed under the name uncultured bacterium. RNAcentral's name for it is "partial 16S ribosomal RNA". It matches the Rfam family "Bacterial small subunit ribosomal RNA", at positions 568 to 796 of the family's 1533-position model. The record is from RNAcentral.